AUUGAACGCUGGCGGCAGGCUUAACACAUGCAAGUCGAACGAGUGGCGGACGGGUGAGUAAUGUCUGGGAAACUGGCUGCUGGAGGGGGAUAACUACUGGAAACUGUAGCUAAUACCGCAUCCCAUAGGAUGAGCACAAAGGGUAUUAGCUAGUUGGUGGGGUAAAGGCUAACCAAGGCGACGAUCUCUAGCUUGUCUGAGAGGAUGACCAGCAACACUGUAACUGAGACACGGACCAGACUCCUACGGGAGGAAGUAGGGGGGAAAAUUGCACAAUGGGCGCAAGCCUGAGGCAGCCAUGCCGCGUGAAUGAAGAAGGCCUUCGGGUUGUAAAGUUCUUUCAGUAGCGAGGCGUUAAGUACAGAAGAAGCACCGGCUAACUCCGUGCCAGCAGCCGCGGUAAUUC
This 406-nucleotide ribosomal RNA is filed under the name uncultured bacterium. RNAcentral's name for it is "partial 16S ribosomal RNA". It matches the Rfam family "Bacterial small subunit ribosomal RNA", at positions 30 to 526 of the family's 1533-position model. The record is from RNAcentral.